UGUUAUGGGCGGGCUGUGUGGUGGCCCUUCGGGGCGCCGGUCCCUGAGCCCGGUACGCCAACGCCGCACGGUCCGCUCUCCAGA
RNAcentral lists this non-coding RNA (84 nucleotides) under Terasakiispira papahanaumokuakeensis. The record is from RNAcentral. Lineage: Bacteria; Pseudomonadati; Pseudomonadota; Gammaproteobacteria; Oceanospirillales.